RNAcentral lists this ribosomal RNA (1323 nucleotides) under Triticum aestivum (bread wheat). Its description in RNAcentral is "partial small subunit ribosomal RNA". Lineage: Eukaryota; Viridiplantae; Streptophyta; Magnoliopsida; Poales; Poaceae. The record is from RNAcentral.
AUGGCGUCACCUGAGAAGCGAUUCUGCCGUGGAUCAGGGGAAACAUUGGGUUCGUCUCACGCCGCCCGCUACCCCAGCCCUUGCAGGGAGGAUCUCCGUGAUACGCUGGAGGAGGUGGAUGUAGUCGAACUCGAACCCCAUGGCCAGCCGGCGCGCAUGGUCACCGAUCCUGGUCAGAUUGCCUGGCAUGCCCUGGACCUCAAGUUCCCACGGGAGGAGAGCGAAUCAGACUGGAGCGACUGGAGCGACGGCGAUGACCGAGUGAUUGACGGGGUGAAGAAAGAUUGCCCAGGGAAUGAAGCAGUCGAUGGUGAUGAGGACGACAACUGCAAUGGCCAAGUCGUUUACGAGGACAAUAAACCAGACACGAAGAUAAUCUGCCCAGGAAAGCUCUAUCCUGAGAGCGAAGCAGAGGAAAUUGAGCUGGAGUGGAUUGAGAGGUACUGCAAGCAGAUGGGAGAAUACUCUAAACUGUUUGAUGACAUUCUGGCCCGGGAGCACCACGACGAUUCUACUACUUUGCCUCCUUUUCCUAUGAAACUGCUCCCUCCCACAACAUCUCUAUGCUUCAUGGAGGGGUACUGCUACCACAGUGUUUAUAAGACCCAUGAUACUUCUACCACUCCAUCAACUCUUGGAUAUCGCACACCACAACAGAUGCUACAGUUCUUUUCAAUGAGCUUACCAAGCUCUGGGCUCUCCUAUCCCAUUAGUGUGUAUGGAAUACUUGCUGUUCGCGAUGACUUGGACCAGCGACGGAAUUACCUCUUUAACUGUCCUAGAGAUACUGCUGUAGAGAUUGUGAAUCAGGAAUCCUUUGACUUGCCUCUUUGUAGCCCGUGUCGAGGAAUAUAUGUACUGGACGAGGCACUACUAGAAGUUGAUCUCUGGGUAAAGAAGGAAGGGAAUGGAUCAGCUGACAAGCAUAUACUUUCUGCAUAUGCUGAGAUUGAAGUCCGUGCAAAUUUUGAUAUUAUGCUGGGUGGUCGGAUUCCUGGUGUUGAUUGCAACUUGGACCUGAAAUACAUGAUCAUUGCACGAAGUAUUGAGGCGGUAGUACAAGUCUAUGCAGAGGUUGACCAUCCUCAUCACGUGAAGUUCACUGCUUCAAGCACUGGCUAUGACGAUGAGAUUGUGCUGUUUGAUGACAAGAUAUCUGGGAGUGUGAAACUGUUCCAACAUAUUGUCGCGGUUAAGAGAAAUGAAAAUUUGGGGACUUUUCAUGAUGAGUAUGUUGGACCCGUCAGUUCUCCCGAUGACUCGAUCCUUCAGUAUGGCCAGUUUUUUGUGAGGGUGCUUUUUGCUCCAAAGAACUCUGCAUGA